UAAAGUGGCGUACGGGUGAGUAACACGUGGAUAAUCUACCUCUUAGUGGGGAAUAACUUUGGGAAACCGAAGCUAAUACCGCAUAAGCCUGGAAAGGAAAAGCAGUAAUGCGCUGAGAGAGGAGUCCGCGGCCGAUUAGCUAGUUGGCAGGGUAAAAGCCUACCAAGGCAUUGAUCGGUAGCCGGCCUGAGAGGGCACACGGCCACACUGGCACUGAAACACGGGCCAG
RNAcentral lists this ribosomal RNA (229 nucleotides) under uncultured bacterium. RNAcentral's name for it is "partial 16S ribosomal RNA". It matches the Rfam family "Bacterial small subunit ribosomal RNA", at positions 91 to 334 of the family's 1533-position model. The record is from RNAcentral.